CCACACGAUCGAACAAUGCUCGACGGACAAAAUUGUUACCAACUACCAGUGGAAAGCGGAAAGGCUCGUUGAUGACGUCAGAAAGCGAGCACCAAGUGGUGUACCGGACAUUGUCCGUGUUCGCAGCAUCGAAACGUCAGACACUGUCUGGUGUGGAAUUAUACGAUACUGCCAGACACUCGACGAGCAAAGUCACUUGGUUACAGGAUUUUCAAAGUCCGUCAGUUCAUUAGUUCUCAUCGUCCUGUGACCAUGGCCAGCAGUACCUCAGUCAAUGAGAAGAGUUGCCACUGGGACAGAAAAGAGACCCUGCUACUAAUAGAACUAUACCGGCAGAAUCCAUGCCUAUGGAAUGUAAAGUCUACUGUGUACAAGGAUAGGAACAAACGUGUCGCGGCCAUUAAUGAAAUAACGGCAGGACUGAAUAGAAAUGGAUUAUCUGUUACUGCUUCUGAAGUGAAGAAAAAAAUAGAAUCCAUCCGUAGUCAAUAUAGGAGAGAACUACGAAAACAGGAGAAAUCAAAGAAGUCGGGGGCUGGUGCUGACGACAUUUACACCCCCAUAUUAUGGUGUUUUGAUGACCUCUGCUUCCGUCAACGAUGGCGACAGCAAGAGAGAAUCCGUGUCAAGUAUGGAUAGCCAAGUGUCUCUUGUGCCUGAAGAAGUGUCUGAUCAUGAGAUUUUCAAUGAUCCUAUACUUCAACAAAAUGAAGAUGGUUCUGUAACCCAUACAACACCAACGCCUGUCACACCUGUCCCAAGUACAUCGCAUGAUAAUGUACCACCUGCAACGCCCUGAGUCUUCACGCAUUCAGACUCAAACUACCCGAGGGAGAAAAAGGUCUUUACUCACUGACGAGAGGCAUGAGGUGCUUGAAGAAGCGCUUCAUCAACUGAAAGAAUUAUCUCGAUCGGAGAAGGAUAGCGAUGAAGAAAGUGCUUUUGGUGAUGUUGUUACCAAUGAUUUGCGAAAGAUGAAUGUAGAAAAUAGGAUCCAUGCACAGAAACUAAUUUCUGAGGUACUUUAUCUGGGGAAAUUAGGGAAGCUCACCUUUUCAUCCAAGGUUGUUGGCUAAUUAUGUAGUACGACCAUUAUUGUCUGUAUUGAAGUGGCAUUAAUAUGUUAACAAUAAAUCUGUGACAGUUAA
Scylla paramamosain (green mud crab) is the source of this 1148-nucleotide long non-coding RNA. RefSeq lists it as uncharacterized. The record is from RefSeq and is a predicted model, not a curated record. NCBI's taxonomy places the organism in Eukaryota, Metazoa, Arthropoda, Malacostraca, Decapoda, Portunidae. The transcript is spliced from 2 exons.